Molecule: non-coding RNA, 428 nt
Organism: Prevotella sp. CAG:592
Lineage: Bacteria; Pseudomonadati; Bacteroidota; Bacteroidia; Bacteroidales; Prevotellaceae
Rfam family: Bacterial RNase P class A
About the family: Ribonuclease P (RNase P) is a ubiquitous endoribonuclease, found in archaea, bacteria and eukarya as well as chloroplasts and mitochondria. Its best characterised activity is the generation of mature 5'-ends of tRNAs by cleaving the 5'-leader elements of precursor-tRNAs.
Source: Rfam
GCAGCGUCCCGGCUCUGCCGCUGGUAGCAUCUGGCUACGAGAGGAAAGUCCGGGCAGCAUAGGGUGCUCCGCUUCUGAAAAUGGAAGCUAUUGGCAACAGUAGGAUACGACAGAAGAAAACAACCGCCAUCCUUUGAUAAUAAUGUGAGGAUUCGAUUCUUCACUAUAUUAUCCAAAACAAAAGAAGGAUGGUAAGGGUGAGAAGGUGGUGUAAGAGACCACCAGUCGCUGGGUGACCAGCGGGCUGUGUCGUCCGGAGGCUGCAAGUUCAUGUAAACCAUCGUUUGAGGAUUGCCCGUCCGACUAACUCCGAUGGAGGGUAGAAUGCUUGAGACAUGGGGUGACUCAUGUUCUAGAUAAAUGGCAGGCGCCGGUAUCGUCGAGAGGCAUUACCGGAACAGAACUCGGCUUAUAGGGACACUGUUUUC